Molecule: long non-coding RNA, 152 nt
Organism: Juglans microcarpa x Juglans regia
Lineage: Eukaryota; Viridiplantae; Streptophyta; Magnoliopsida; Fagales; Juglandaceae
Exons: 4
Source: RefSeq, a predicted model, not a curated record
UUUGAAUAUUUUUUUCCUAAAAACCCAUAGCUACUGGUUUUGUUCUUUCCUUUCAUGCUUUCCUCUAAACAAAUCAAAAGAAGAUCUAGGAAAGCAAUGAAGGAAAUAAAGUGAGAAGCUAGAUCUUUUAAUUUACACUAUAUGGCCACAGU